GAUGAACGCUGGCGGCGUGCCUAAUACAUGCAAGUCGAGCGAACAGACGAGGAGCUUGCUCCUUCGACGUUAGCGGCGGACGGGUGAGUAACACGUAGGUAACCUACCUAUAAGACUGGGAUAACUUCGGGAAACCGGAGCUAAUACCGGAUAAUAUUUCGAACCGCAUGGUUCGAUAGUGAAAGAUGGCUUUGCUAUCACUUAUAGAUGGACCUGCGCCGUAUUAGCUAGUUGGUAAGGUAACGGCUUACCAAGGCAACGAUACGUAGCCGACCUGAGAGGGUGAUCGGCCACACUGGAACUGAGACACGGUCAAGACUCCUACGGGAGGCAGCAGUAGGGAAUCUUACGCAAUGGGCGAAAGCCUGACGGAGCAACGCCGCGUGAGUGAUGAAGGUCUUCGGAGCGUAAAACUCGGUUAUUAGGGAAGAACAAACGUGUAAGUAACUGUGCACGUCUUGACGGUACCUAAUCAGAAAGCCACGGCUAACUACGUG
RNAcentral lists this ribosomal RNA (497 nucleotides) under uncultured bacterium. RNAcentral's name for it is "partial 16S ribosomal RNA". It matches the Rfam family "Bacterial small subunit ribosomal RNA", at positions 28 to 507 of the family's 1533-position model. The record is from RNAcentral.